CCUACGGGAGGCAGCAGUGAGGAAUAUUGGUCAAUGGGCGCGAGCCUGAACCAGCCAAGUAGCGUGAAGGAUGACUGCCCUACGGGUUGUAAACUUCUUUUAUAAAGGAAUAAAGUGAGGCACGUGUGCCUUUUUGUAUGUACGUUAUGAAUAAGGAUCGUCUAACUCCGUUCCAGCAGCCGCGGUAAUACGGAGGAUCCGAGCGUUGUCCGGAUUUAUUGGGGUUAAAGGGUGCGUAGGCGGAAUGCCACUUCAGUGGUAAAAUCGCGGGGUUCAGCCGCGCUUCGCCGUUGAAACUGGUGUUCUUGAGUGGAGGAGAAGUAUGCGGAAUUCGAGGUGUAGCGGUGAAAUGCAUAGAUAUCACGCAGAACACCGAUUGCGAAGGCAGCAUACCGGCGCGCAACUGACGCUGAAGCACGAAAGCGUGGGUAUCGAACAGGAUUAGAUACCCCUGUAGUC
This 459-nucleotide ribosomal RNA is filed under the name uncultured bacterium. Its description in RNAcentral is "partial 16S ribosomal RNA". It matches the Rfam family "Bacterial small subunit ribosomal RNA", at positions 338 to 795 of the family's 1533-position model. The record is from RNAcentral.